This 49-nucleotide non-coding RNA is filed under the name Trichobilharzia regenti. Lineage: Eukaryota; Metazoa; Platyhelminthes; Trematoda; Strigeidida; Schistosomatidae. The record is from RNAcentral.
AUUCAGCUGACGAGUCCCAAAUAGGACUAAACGCGCACUGCCCUGGAAU